CAAUAGCGUAUAUUUAAGUUGUUGCAGUUAAAAAGCUCGUAGUUGGAUUUCGGAUGGGACUUGCCGGUCCGUCGUUUCGAUGUGCACUGGCCAGUCCUAUCUUGUUGUCGGGGACUAGCUCCUGGGCUUCACUGUCCGGGACUAGGGGCUGACGAGGUUACUUUGAGUAAAUUAGAGUGUUCAAAGCAAGCCUACGCUCUGAAUACAUUAGCAUGGAAUAACACGAUAGGACUCUGGCUUAUCUUGUUGGUCUGUGAGACCAGAGUAAUGAUUAAGAGGGACAGUCGGGGGCAUUCGUAUUUCAUUGUCAGAGGUGAAAUUCUUGGAUUUAUGAAAGACGAACUUCUGCGAAAGCAUUUGUCAAGGAUGUUUNCAUUAA
Molecule: ribosomal RNA, 379 nt
Filed under: uncultured eukaryote
Lineage: Eukaryota
Description: partial 18S ribosomal RNA
Rfam family: Eukaryotic small subunit ribosomal RNA
Source: RNAcentral